UAUUUUGAAAGAUGCUGGAACAGUGUUGUGGGGUUUCCAGUCACCCUGAAGACUCUAAGGAUAUCUUCAAAGAUGCAAAGUUAUACUGCUUGCACCUUACCUUCACUAGCAGAUGGGAAGGAUAAACUGGAAGUGACAUCAUUCAAGGCUUCAUCAAUCUUCUUUUGAAUCUACAAAGAAAGGAAAAUACUAUCAACAAAGGCGCUGGACAUAUUAUAAAUAAUUGUUGAAUGCAUGCAAGAUUGAACUCACUAGCUACAUCCAUUCUAUCAAGAGGAAUAGACAGGAACUUUUUCAGCUCUAUGAGCAAAAAGCAUAGCAGAGUUCACAGCCACACAGUUCAACUUCUCCUUCCUACCAACCUCUCCCUCCAAAAACAAGCUGACUGGAACAGUGAACUGGCAUACACUAGUCUCUAAACCACCCUAGAAAUUGCCUGUGGGAAUGGUAGGUGGUUUCUGCUGGGAUAGAGUUGAUUUUCUUCCUAGUAGCUGGUGCAGUGCUGUGUUUUAGCUUUAAUCUGAGAACAAUGCUGAUAACACACCGAUUUUUAGUUGUUGCUAAGUAAUGCUUACUCUGAUCAAGGACUGUUGGGUCUCUCAUGCUCUGCCAGUGAGAAGAGGCACAAGAAGCCGGGAGGGAGCAGAGACAGGACACCACACAUAAUUUAGAAACUUGUGAAAAUAAAAGCAAUAAAGAAACCUCCACUACAGACACAGUUAGGAGAUUUCUUUCUUCCCGCCCCCCCCACCUUACAUUCAGGAGGCCCAGACUUCUUCUCAUAACACUUUGCGAAACCGAGACUCUUCUUCCAGGCAACAUAGGGAUUGGGAUAUUAUCAGCUUUAAAGACUUUUGGACAUUGGAAUGCCUCAAAGUCAAGGCCUCCUGUAAGCAACUGACAGGUUAUCAGGUAUCAGCCUACCAAAGAGCAGGAAGAGUACACAGAUAGGACACACAAGGAGUCCUCUGGCACAGGAGAGCUUAACAGCUCUAGCCCUUGGAAGUUAAGUCUGAACAAAAGAGGGAUCAUAUACAAGGGGCCCAGACCUUUUCUAACAGGCAGACAAAAAUAUAAGCAGAAGAGAACGAUUCAUUAAUUCACCUGAUCAAAGGCUGCUCAAGUCAGAAGGUGAAAGCUGAGGCACUUGAUAAGACAUAAAGGGGGGAAGCUAUUUCCUUCCAGAGGGCUGGGGGAGAAACUUGAGAACCACUUCUGUGUCCACAGCAAAACGAAAAAGUUCCUCUUUGCUAACCUCAUUUGACAAAAUUGCCUACAACAGAUCUGACCCUCUGAAUCAAUGUGUAAAUAUGGCAACACAUCAAGCAGAAAGAAGCACAAUCAAGUAUUAUACCAAUAUUUACCAGGUAAAUAGCUGUGCAUUUCUCAAUCAUUAAAUCAUUAACAUGCUAAAACAUG
Molecule: long non-coding RNA, 1419 nt
Organism: Strigops habroptila (Kakapo)
Lineage: Eukaryota; Metazoa; Chordata; Aves; Psittaciformes; Psittacidae
Exons: 2
Source: RefSeq, a predicted model, not a curated record